AUGUGGAUAAUUUUGCAACAACAAAAAUGUUUUUAAAUUCUGAUUUUAUGAUGUGGGUUUGUUCUGAAGGCUGUGGGUGUUUAAAGUUGUAAAUAAUUACAUGUUAUGUUCUCAAUAAUCAUUUAAAAAAAUGUAAAUUAUCUUUCUUAGGGUUGUUUUUAUUUUCAUGAGAGCUUUAUCUGGGCCUGUCCUCAUGUCCGGGUGAUCCGGGCCUGUCUUCAUGUCCGGGUGAUCUGGGCCUGUCUUCAUGUCCAGGUGAUCUGGGCCUGUCUUCAUGUCCGGGUGAUCCGGGCCUGUCUUCAUGUCCGGGUGAUCCGGGCCUGUCUUCAUGUCCGGGUGAUCCGGGCCUGUCUUCAUGUCCGGGUGAUCCGGGCCUGUCUUCAUGUCCGGGUGAUCCGGGCCUGUCUUCAUGUCCGGGUGGUCCGGGCCUGUCUUCAUGUCCAGGUGAUCUGGGCCUGUCUUCAUGUCCGGGUGAUCUGGGCCUGUCUUCAUGUCCGGGUGAUCUGGGCCUGUCUUCAUGUCCGGGUGAUCUGGGUGGGGUCAGUCGGUCAUCCAGGUGAUCUGGGUGGGGUCAGUCGGUCAUCCAGGUGAUCUGGGUGGGGUCAGUCGGUCAUCCAGGUGAUCUGGGUGGGGUCAGUCGGUCAUCCAGGUGAUCUGGGUGGGGUCAGUCGGUCAUCCAGGUGAUCUGGGUGGGGUCAGUCGGUCAUCCAGGUGAUCUGGGUGGGGUCAGUCGGUCAUCCAGGUGAUCUGGGUGGGGUCAGUCGGUCAUCCAGGUGAUCUGGGUGGGGUCAGUCGGUCAUCCAGGUGAUCUGGGUGGGGUCAGUCGGUCAUCCAGGUGAUCUGGGUGGGGUCAGUCGGUCAUCCAGGUGAUCUGGGUGGGGUCAGUCGGUCAUCCAGGUGAUCUGGGUGGGGUCAGUCGGUCAUCCAGGUGAUCUGGGUGGGGUCAGUCGGUCAUCCAGGUGAUCUGGGUGGGGUCAGUCGGUCAUCCAGGUGAUCUGGGUGGGGUCAGUCGGUCAUCCAGGUGAUCUGGGUGGGGUCAGUCGGUCAUCCAGGUGAUCUGGGUGGGGUCAGUCGGUCAUCCAGGUGAUCCGGGUGGGGUCAGUCGGUCAUCCAGGUGAUCCGGGUGGGGUCAGUCGGUCAUCCAGGUGAUCUGGGUGGGGUCAGUCGGUCAUCCAGGUGAUCCGGGUGGGGUCAGUCGGUCAUCCAGGUGAUCUGGGUGGGGUCAGUCGGUCAUCCAGGUGAUCGACCGACCCCAAAGUGCUACAUGUUUAAUGACGACAGACACCGGUCACGAUGGCUUGAACCCCGGGUCACAAGACUUGCGUUAGCUUCCUGAGCGAAGGGCUGAGCCUCGGCAUUAUCUCCAAGAGCUAAACAAGUCUUCAUGUUCACAGAAUCACCUCCGUUACAUAAACCUCCACAACUUCUGGUCACAUGACUCCAGUCUCAGCUCUCUCCUCUUCCCGACUCUAUCCUGACCCAAUCUGAGAUGGGUUGUACCGCCCUGAGGAGAAGUUGGCCCUAACCACAAAUCUAGGAUCAUCUUCUUCACCUCUUAACCUUAAAGCAUUGAGGGGAAACAGAACUGAUUCAAGAUCAGCGUCUGUCAGCUUCUGGUCACAUGACCCCAGUCCCAUCUCUCUCCUCCAUGUGUAUAAAUAUAGCUGGAUGUUUUUCCAACGCUGCUUCUAUCUUCCUGAGUCUCGCUCAUUCUCCUCCUUUCUUUGUGUUGGGGGGCUGAAUAUUAAAUUAGAACAGCCAUGGUCAAAACAGAGAGGGAGGAACUGAAUAUUAAAUUAGAACAGCCAUGGUCAAAACACAGGGGGAGGAACUGAAUAUUAAAUUAGAACAGCCAUGGUCAAAACAGAGGGAGGAACUGAAUAUUAAAUUAGAACAGCCAUGGUCAAAACAGAGGGGGAGGAACUGAAUAUUAAAUUAGAACAGCCAUGGUCAAAACACAGGGGAGGAACUGAAUAUUAAAUUAGAACAGCCAUGGUCAAAACAGAGGGAGGAACUGAAUAUUAAAUUAGAACAGCCAUGGUCAAAACAGAGGGAGGAACUGAAUAUUAAAUUAGAACAGCCAACUGGAACUGAAAAGGGGAGGAACUGAAUAUUAAAUUAGAACAGCCAUGGUCAAAAAGGGGAGGGACCAUAGUACUGUUUUUGUUUGUUUGGUAAGAAUAAAAAGUUGUUUUUACGUUCGCUUGUGAGCAUCGACAGAGACCAGAGUGGUUUCUGGGCCCCGCUGCAAGAGUGUGUGUGUGUGUGUGUGUGUGUGUGUGUGUGUGUGUGUGUGUGUGUGUGUGUGUGUGUGUGUUGUAGCUACUCUGCUGUGUGUUGACAGUAUGAACCAGAACGUGGUGUGCUUGCAGUGAUGCAUAUUUUGGAUUUAUUCCUCUCAGAAUAAAUAAAUGUUCUA
Molecule: long non-coding RNA, 2419 nt
Organism: Oncorhynchus keta (chum salmon)
Lineage: Eukaryota; Metazoa; Chordata; Actinopteri; Salmoniformes; Salmonidae
Exons: 3
Source: RefSeq, a predicted model, not a curated record